This 747-nucleotide ribosomal RNA is filed under the name uncultured bacterium. RNAcentral's name for it is "bacterial SSU rRNA". It matches the Rfam family "Bacterial small subunit ribosomal RNA", at positions 771 to 1501 of the family's 1533-position model. The record is from RNAcentral.
AACAGGAUUUAGAUAACCCUGGGUAGUUACACGCCGUAAAACGAUGGAUAGCUAGCCCGUCGGGCAGGUUUACCUGUCGGUGGCGCAGCUAACGCAUUAAGCAUCCCCGCCUGGGGGAGUACGGUCGCAAAGAUUAAAACUCAAAAGGAAUUGACGGGGGCCCGCACAAGCGGGUGGAGCAUGUGGUUUUAAUUUCGAAGCAACGCGCAGAACCUUACCAGCCCUUGACAUCCCGGUCGCGGGUUCGAGAGAUCGAACCCUUCAGUUCAGCUGGACCGGUGACAGGUGCUGCAUGGCUGUCGUCAGCUCGUGUCGUGAGAUGUUGGGUUAAGUCCCGCAACGAGCGCAACCUUCGCCCCUAGUUGCCAUCAUUCAGUUGGGCACUCUAGGGGGACUGCCGGUGAUAAGCCGCGAGGAAGGUGAAGAUGACGUCAAGUCCUCAUGGCCCUUACGGGCUGGGCUACACACGUGCUACAAUGGUGGUGACAGUGGGCAGCGAGACCGCGAGGUCGAGCUAAUCUCCAAAAGCCAUCUCAGUUCGGAUUGCACUCUGCAACUCGAGUGCAUGAAGUUGGAAUCGCUAGUAAUCGUGGAUCAGCAUGCCACGGUGAAUACGUUCCCGGGCCUUGUACACACCGCCCGUCACACCAUGGGAGUUGGCUUUACCCGAAGGCACUGUGCUAACCGCAAGGAGGCAGGUGACCACGGUAGGGUCAGCGACUGGGGUGAAGUCGUAACAAGGUAACC